Gambusia affinis (western mosquitofish) is the source of this 803-nucleotide long non-coding RNA. RefSeq lists it as uncharacterized. The transcript is spliced from 3 exons. The record is from RefSeq and is a predicted model, not a curated record. NCBI's taxonomy places the organism in Eukaryota, Metazoa, Chordata, Actinopteri, Cyprinodontiformes, Poeciliidae.
AAACCAAACUCUGUUCUUUCUACAGCUGUCAUCCUGACUCUUCCACCAAUAAUUAUUCCUGGAUAAAUGGCAGAAUUUUCCAGGACGCAAGGUUUGGCCUCCAGUAUCCACAGUGUGUAUGUGGAUAUCCAGAUGUGUGGGAGAGAAAGAGAGACAUAUUAACAAAAGGUUUUUCUCACCAAAGAACUGACCGGAAUAAUGUCCUGGUCAGUGUGCAUAGGAUAAAGUCUCUCACUUUAUGCACUGCAGUAAAUUACUGUGUUCAAUAAAUGAGCACUCAGCUUCUUCGCCCUCUGUGGCUCAGCAUAUUGUGACCGACUGGCAAAUAAAGGAGCAGCCCAUUCAGUGACCCGCCAUGGCUGAUCUUCAUCACACUGAUACUGACCUACUUAACUACCAUCUCUGACUGCAUGUUAAAGAAAUCCCUGCAUGACACCCUGAUAAAGGCUUAGUCAUUAAUCAGGAUGGACAAACAACCUUAAAACAACUCCUGGCCAAAUAAAAGAGAGAGAUUAGAAUAAAUCUGCUGUCAGUAGCAGCAGCUUUUCUGUGUGCUGUCUUUUGGAGCGUAGUUUAAUUUCCUCACAAAGGUGGUCAGAGCAUAAGCACACCCUUAUACAGAGACCAUCAAAGUUAAUGUCUCAACUCGAAUCAGACACAGAUUGAUGGCGUAGAGGCAAAAUGAGGCUCCUUCACCUUAUCUUUAACAAGAAGAGAAUGUGGGAAGCAGUGACCCGGAGCAAAGGUCUCAUCAGUGCCUGUCUCAGUUUGAGACCGCCUUGCCUGUCAAAGUCACAUUUUAA